Non-coding RNA from Schistosoma mansoni, 45 nucleotides. Lineage: Eukaryota; Metazoa; Platyhelminthes; Trematoda; Strigeidida; Schistosomatidae. The record is from Rfam.
AUCUAUCUGAUGAGUCCCGAAUAGGACGAAACGCUCGUCCUGGAU